RNAcentral lists this ribosomal RNA (298 nucleotides) under uncultured bacterium. Its description in RNAcentral is "partial 16S ribosomal RNA". It matches the Rfam family "Bacterial small subunit ribosomal RNA", at positions 28 to 326 of the family's 1533-position model. The record is from RNAcentral.
GACGAACGCUGGCGGCGUGCUUAACACAUGCAAGUCGAGCGGUAAGGCCCUUUCGGGGGUACGACGAGCGGCGAACGGGUGAGUAACACGUGGGUGACCUGCCCUCAGCUCUGGGAUAAGCCUGGGAAACCGGGUCUAAUACUGGAUAUGACUCCAUGACGCAUGUUGUGGGGUGGAAAGCCUUGUGCGGCUGAGGAUGGGCCCGCGGCCUAUCAGCUUGUUGGUGGGGUGACGGCCUACCAAGGCGACGACGGGUAGCCGCCUGAGAGGGCGGCCGGCCACACGUGGGACUGAGACA